AAGCGGUAUGUGAUGACACAGGCAGGUCGCACAUGCAGUUCUAGUGGCUAAAGACAGAUGUUUCCUCGCAGAGCCGGGCACUCCUCCCCUCCCACCCAACAAGAACCUGUGUCCUUUUAAUCCCAGCUCAGCCCUGGGCAGCCCCGUGUGCCCAGUGACAUCUCCACGGUGUGCGGGACAAAGGCGGCCACGGACAGCAGGAAUUUCCCAAUACUUUGGCAUUUCAUUUCAGAGAACUGGACCCCAACCAGUCUGCAGCAGUGCUGGAUGUUGCAAUGCAGUUCCAGACUUUCCCCAGGCUGCCUGUGGAGUGACCAGUGCUUCACCUACAGUUGCAGAGGUCCAUUUUGAGGGGUUUUUUUCCCCCAGAAACACAACCCACAAAUACCAAGAUCCCAUAAAGGGAGAGGGAAAGGCGUCCACUGGAGGCAGAGGCUUGCAGCAGCUGCCCACUGCUGGGAACUCAGAAAAGAAGCCAGGACUCCAAAGAUUCGAGUGCAGCCAAUCAGCAAAGUGUCCUGCGAGAGAAUCCCAGCUCUGCCCAGCCCUAACAACUCACCAGAGGAUCCUCUGGCUCCUGUCUCCCAUGGUCUUUGAACCCCCUCCUGUGAAGCCUGCAGUGCCUCCAUCACUCCUCCCAUGAGCUAAGGACGGGCUCCCAGAGCUGUGGAGUGUGACAAUGGUGUUUGUGUCCAGUCUAUCAAACGCCAUUAUCACACUAAAUAGUUCCUGGCAGGCAAGGCAUCAGGGCAGGAAGGUUUGGGACCUCUGGCAGUAAGUACAUCUUCCCACUGUGCUGAGGAAUAAACGAGCGUGGCACAUGCACAGCAGGAUGACUCUGCUCCUUCUUUAGAGGCAAAAGCACCAGAAUACAUGAGAAAUCCAUACUCUGACACAGGCACUUCCAGAUCCCCUUUGUAAAGCACACCAGACAUCUGUCACCAUUAGGAAUGUGGAUUUCCUUGGCAUUAAUAGGGCUGUGUUUACCUCUGAGACGUCAGCUUGUGAUUUGCAUUGAAAAUGAACUGACCAGGAUAAUAAAACUGAGAGCAAUUAGCCAA
Molecule: long non-coding RNA, 1061 nt
Organism: Oenanthe melanoleuca
Lineage: Eukaryota; Metazoa; Chordata; Aves; Passeriformes; Muscicapidae
Exons: 4
Source: RefSeq, a predicted model, not a curated record